GGUUUGAAAUCGAUGGGAGAUUAAACCUCUCCAUGAGUAGCAAUUAGAGGACAAGUCUGGUGCCAGCACCCGCGGUAAUUCCAGCUCUAAAAGUGUAUAUUAAUACUGUUGUAAGUUAAAACGCCCGUAGUAUACCUAAGGGUUGUGAUCGUUGAUCUGACUAGUCAUGUCCGUCGUGGUUGACCAUGUAUUGUGGUCAAUUGGGUGGACAAUGAUUGGUCCACGGUCCCUAAACAGGAUGAAAGUUUUUACAAGUAGUCCUGUCCAAGGGAUAGGUCAAUGGUCAUGACUCGCUCUCUACCAGUCUUCGGACUGGUAGAGCCUUUUGGCACAACCGUAAACAAAUCAGAGUGCUCCAAGCAGGCAGUGUUUGGGGGUAACCCCGCUUUUGCUUGUAUGAUUUAGCAUGGAAUUGUCACGAAGCCGAACGGAAGCCUCGAGGGUUCGCCUGAGAGGUGGAAGUCCCGGCGCUCGUAACGAGACACAGGUAGAGGAUCCAAGUACUAUGGCGCGAGAGGUGAAAUUCAGUGACCGCCAUAUGACUAUCUAAUGCGAAGGCAGUUGUGAUCCAGAACGUGUCUGUCAAUCAGGGACGAAAGUUAAGGGAUCGAAGAUGAUUAGAUACCGUCGUAGUCUUAACCGUAAACGAUACCAACACGAGAUUGGUAGCGAAACCAUUAUUAGAUCCUAUCAGAAUCCAAGGGAAACCGUUAAGUCUUUGGGUUCUGGGGGGAGUAUGGUCGCAAGGCUGAAACUUAAAGGAAUUGACGGAAAGGCACCACCAGGAGUGGAGUAUGCGGCUUAAUUCGACUCAACGCGGGGAAACUCACCAAGUUAGGAUGUGAAUAUGAUUGACAGAUUAAGGUUCUUUCUUGAUUUUACAGAAGGUGGUGCAUGGUCGUUCUUAGUUCGUGGAGUGAUUCGUCUUGUUAAUUCAGUUAACGAGCGAGACCUUAACUUGCUAAUUAAGGUACAGGGAUAGUUUUCGGACUAUCUUUGUUUCGUCGGUAGGGUGUUAUGCCCUACCAUGAAACCUGUACAUAUCACCGGUUCGCUGGUGAUACUUCUUAGAGGUACAGCACUCGCUCCAUAGGGUGAGGAAGUUUAAGGCAAUAACAGAUCUGUGAUGCCCUUAGAUAUCUUGGGCUGCACGCGUACUACAAUAUUAAUAGCAACAAGUAACGUAAAUAUCAUCCAUAGGAUGAAGACCCUGGUCCGAAAGGAUUGGGAAAUCUUAUCAAAGAUUAAUGUGACAGGGAUCGAGGUUUGUAAAUCCUCGUGAACGAGGAAUUCCUAGUAAGCAUGAUUCAUCAUGUCGUAUUGGCUACGUCCCUGCCUUUUGUACACACCGCCCGUCGCUCGUACCGACUGAAUAGAGGUAUGAAUUUGAUGGACUAGCAGUAGGUAAACUACAGUGCGAGAAAAUCAACUGAAUUUCUCUAUUUGUAGGAACGAGAAGUCGUAACAAGGUCUUCGUAGGUGAACCUGCGGAGGGAUCAUUUAUAUAGCUGCACAAGCCAGGACAUUUGUUAAUGCCGUUGCAGCUACUGACAAACUAGUUUGUCAGCGAGAUCCAACAUCAAUAUCUUCCGUUGAUGCUAUGGGAUCUACUGGCUAGGAAGCAGUUACUGGUUGUACUUUGGUAUAUGGUUCUCCAGUAUAAAAAAGAGCGAAUAUCACAUGAAGGUUAUCUGUAAUCGGCUCUAGCAUCAUUGAUGGUAGAGGGAUAACCCGCCCUAUAAGGGUGCUGGUUGUAAUAGAAGCAACGCACUUUCCCUUCUGUUACUAUAACCACCGAUAGGAUGGAUGCUUUGCGAUGGAUGACUAGGGUCUUGUAUCGAUGAAGAACGCAGUUAACCGCGAUAGUUAAUGUGACUCGCAACUCCCGUGAAUCAUCGAGACUUGAACACAUACGGAACCCUUGCUUCUUUCGAGUAGCAA
This 1941-nucleotide ribosomal RNA is filed under the name Tetramitus thermacidophilus. RNAcentral's name for it is "SSU rRNA". The stretch from base 1 to 1502 matches the Rfam family "Eukaryotic small subunit ribosomal RNA", at positions 506 to 1831 of the family's 1831-position model. Lineage: Eukaryota; Heterolobosea; Eutetramitea; Acrasida; Vahlkampfiidae. The record is from RNAcentral.